AUGUUGCAACAAGAUAUGAAGAAGGUACAGGAGCUUGAGGUAAUUGAUAGACUGACAGGGACCGAUAGUCAGAGAUUUGUGGUUGCGUGGAAGAAUAACAGGGAUCACAGAUUUAAUGUGGACUAUACGCCAGGUAACUCGGCAGAAACUAUAAAGUGCAGUUGCCGAAGUAUGACUCGCAAAGGGCUUCCUUGCAAGCAUAUUAUUCAUGUUUUGAAUGCACUUAACUUACAUGUGAUACCCAAGUGUUGUGUCCUGCGAAGAUUCUCAAAAAAAGCACGAGCUGGACUGCCCGUGAAGCGCACUAGCGAUUUGUUUGCGUGGGGUUGGUCGAGUGGUGAGGACAGAGCUAGAUAUAGUGAGUUGACCAUCAAAUCUUCAGAAGCAUGUCAUGUCGCACGCAGUAAUCCCUUCUUAUUCGACAAGUUGAUGGCAGCUCUGGAUGAUAUUAUAGUGAAUAAGGACAUUCAUGGAAAUGAAGAUGAUAUUCAGCAAAGCUUCGUGAACAAUAAUCCAUUUGAGCCUAACCGAGAUCAUAUUUUGGUUCCUGAUCCAGUAAAGGUUUCCACCAAGGGCGCACCUAAGAAGAACAGUAGAGGUUGCGAUAAGGGUGGACCAGAUGUGACAAAAAAUUAA
RNAcentral lists this ribosomal RNA (636 nucleotides) under Triticum aestivum (bread wheat). Its description in RNAcentral is "partial small subunit ribosomal RNA". Lineage: Eukaryota; Viridiplantae; Streptophyta; Magnoliopsida; Poales; Poaceae. The record is from RNAcentral.